Molecule: ribosomal RNA, 450 nt
Filed under: uncultured bacterium
Lineage: Bacteria
Description: partial 16S ribosomal RNA
Rfam family: Bacterial small subunit ribosomal RNA
Source: RNAcentral
CCUACGGGGGGCUGCAGUAGGGAAUAUUGGACAAUGGGCGAAAGCCUGAUCCAGCCAUGCCGCGUGGUAGAUGAAGGCCCUCUGGGUUGUAAAUACCUUUUAUCUGGGAAGAAAUAUCUCGUUCUCGAGAAACUGACGGUACCAGAUGAAUAAGCACCGGCUAACUCCGUGCCAGCAGCCGCGGUAAUACGGAGGGUGCACGCAUUUACCGGAUUUAAAGGGUGUGAAGGGUGCGUUGGAAGUCAGUGGUGAAAGCCCCGAGCUUAACUUGGGAAUUGCCAUUGAUACUGUUUUUCUUGAAUACGAUUGAGGUAAGCGGAAUGUUGCAUGUAGCGGUGAAAUGCUUAGAUAUGUUACAGAACACCAAUUGCGAAGGCAGCUUACUAAGUCGUCAUUGACGCUGAGGCACGAAAGCGUGGGGAGCAAACAGGAUUAGAUACCCGGGUAGUC